ACAACCCUAACCAUGAAAAACCCUAACCAAUGACCCGGUUUCCUUCUUCCCCACACCCCAGCAGCAACCGAAAUCCCUUCUCCCCCCUUCCCCUUCAACAACACAAUACACACACUCUAAAACAAAAAGGAAGAAGAAAUGGAAAUAAGGAAAGGGGUGAGAGCAGAGGGGGAUCCGAGAGAGAGGAGUGGAGCUGCGUUGGGAGAAGAGAGGGCGGAGACUGCGCCGCGCGCCGGGCUCCACCAUCGACGCCGCAUCGCCGCCAGAACCGUGCGAAGGACAGGGGAAGAUCACCACGUUGCUGUCCGUGCCGCCAUCACGCGCCACCGCCGUCGAGCCUUAUCGCCGCCGUUGCUAACAGAAGAAGAAGGAGAUAUCGGGGAGAGAGGGGAACGUUGCACCGGCGUGCUGGACUCCACCGCCGCCAUCGGAUCGUCGCCACUGGUCCACCUGAAGCUGCGACACGGAGAGAGGAGGGUUCGCGAGUGGGAAAGGGCUGAGGGCCUGGAACCGCCGCGCCUAGCCACGCCUGUGAAGCCACCGUCGUCGUCCAAGCUCGCCACCGCCAGUCGCGCCGUCGCCAUCUCUGCCCAGCGCCACCGCGGAUGAGGGGUCGCCGAGAAACGCCACCGCUGCUGCUGCUGGGAACCGCCACUGAAGACGCCGGAAGUUGCCGCCGCUGUUCUGCCCCACCGAAUGGCACUGGAAAAAUGCUGCUGCCUCGCCAGAGUUCUGGCCGCCGGAGAACCUCGCCGCCAUCGUCGGAAAAUCUUGCCGUCGCCGUCGCCAGAGUUCUGAUCUAACUGCCGCUCGAGGUGGUUGCCGGGGCUGCCGGCAAACUGGUUCAGCUAUCGCCGCUGUUUCGUUUUCUUAGUUUGGUUGGGCUCUGAUGAUGGCGUGUCGCAUAAGUGUUGCUGUGACUGCUGUGUCGUUCCUUUUAUUUCAGAAUUAGUAUCCGAGCUUAUAUGUGGCGUUGAGUCUGUUUCUGCUAUUGAGAAAAACAAGCGAAGCUGGAAUUUUGGUUGUUGGUUUCGUGUCGAGGAGAAAGACUUUCCUGUGGCGCGUUUGGUUUAUGUAUUCGACGUGUCGAGGUAGGGGCUUUUUGUACAAACUGAUUUAUUUUAAAUUGGAAAUUGUUAUAAAUAGAUAUGCUGUGUAAAACAUGUUCCCCUGAUUAUGUGAGUCUUAUGAAUUGUCUGAUUUGAUCCUGAAUGAAUAUGGUUGUCUGUUUGAUUGAGAUAAUGUCUGCUUUGAUAAAUUGGAGAUGUCUGAAUUUGGUUGAAUUGAAAUGCUUUUUGAUAAUCUGAAAGUUUGAGUUUUUGGUUUUAUUGGAAAUUGAUUUGGUCUUGAACCUGUUGGAAAGAGUUGAGGAUUGGUUUGGUUGGGACCCGGACAGGGUGGCAAAGUCCAAAUUUUAGGGGAGAUAUUGCCGAAAUUUUUAUAAAAUCUGAGAUUUUAAUUGGAACGUUAUUUUGAAAAUAAUGAAUUUUGCUUUGAAUUAGAUGUUUGAUAAAUAAAUUAUGUUUGAACUUACCUUAUUAAGAAAAUUUUUAUAUUUUGGAUGUAAGUAUUAAGAAAGGAAUUAUGUCUUAAAAAUCAAUUUAAAUAUGAAAAUUUUUAUGUUUUGGAAUUUGAUUUAAGUAAAUAAAUUUGAAGGAGUUUUAAUGGAGUUCGAUUAACUAAUUUCACUUUACAACAUUUUAAGAAAAGGUUGAAGUAUUUUCUGAAACUUUGAUUUAGUAGGACUUAAACACUUUCCGAGUCUUUGGAAACCGAUUUAAGAAUGAAACUAAAAAUUGGUGUUUGGUUUAAAUGAUUUGGUUUUGGUUAAGUUAGUGGUUUUGAAAUGGGUUCGGAAUAUUCGGAUAUAUGACUUGAUUUUGGUUUAAAUUCUACUUUUUAUUAUUCAAAUCAAGAAGGUUUCGGAUGUUUUCUAUGAAUUUUAAGAAAUGAGUUAGGUUAUUCUCCCUUGAAAUCUUGAGACUUUGCUAAGGAAUUUUUACGACCAAACCUUGAAUUGAGAAAUGAAUGAUUUAGUCUUUCAAAGAGAUUUUGAAUUUGGCAGAGUUUUGUGUUUGUUUGGAAGUGUUGAAAAGAUGUGGAAAGUGGCUCCGUUUUGAAAAGUGAUUCUUGGCAAGAUGUGAACGGAAUUUGAAAGAAAAUGGGUCAAGAAUGAAUUUGAAAUAAGUUAUUGAGCUUGUUUGAUUAUGGAUGUUCUCAAGAUUGAUGAGUUGUUUUGGUAGGCAUAAGGGUUGGGUUCGUCCCGCUUAUGCUGAGAUGAGAUUUUGAUAAGUCACUGGCAUCGGGCAAGGAUGGCGGUUUAAUCCCGCUCGUCGAGGGUGCAGCGCCCGCGUAAGGACGGUGGUUAAUCCCGCUUACAGGGGAGGCAAGGACGGUGGUUUGGUCCUACUUGCGUGUUCCGGGCAAGGGCGGAGGUUUAAUCCUGCUUGUCUGUGGGACCUACGGGUUAUUCCUUUUCAGGAUAUGGACAAUGAAGCUUCAGAAGAGUUAUAUUCCUUUUUCUGUUUAUUCGUUAUUUUUGUAUCAUUUUAGCUUUUAUUUUUCCCUCGUUUUUUUUUUAUUUUGUAAGAGGGAUAGAUAAUUAUGAUAUGUAUGUUUACAUUUUCAACGAAAAAGUGUUUAGGAAUGGUUAUGCGGUUUUAAGUUUUAAACAGGCUCAUAUUUUAGUAUUAAAUAUUAGAAGAGUCAUCGUAAUGCUCGAGCUAUCAGAGUGUCGCAGCUUCCGGAAGCGUGACAUUUGAUAGUUAGGGUGUUACAUGAUUAAAUUGUUUUGGUUUGCCUA
Molecule: long non-coding RNA, 2803 nt
Organism: Arachis duranensis
Lineage: Eukaryota; Viridiplantae; Streptophyta; Magnoliopsida; Fabales; Fabaceae
Exons: 5
Source: RefSeq, a predicted model, not a curated record